Molecule: long non-coding RNA, 458 nt
Filed under: Helianthus annuus (common sunflower)
Lineage: Eukaryota; Viridiplantae; Streptophyta; Magnoliopsida; Asterales; Asteraceae
Source: RNAcentral
AAACUUCUGACUUCAGGAUUAAGCUUUUUAAAAGCUAGAACUCUCUCUUUUGCAGCAGGGCUUAAUUUCAGAUGAGCAAUGGAUAUAGCUGUACAAGAAAUAAAAAGAGAUAUUAGUGAUCCUCAUUAUAUGAGACAAGGCUGAUAGUGAUCCUUCGAGGAUCCUCUAUCCUACCAUGAUGGCCCAUUCCUUGGGCAGAUCCUUCCCAUCUGGGACGGAAUCCCUUCUAACAAAGAAAAAGCGACGCUUCCAGUUUGUGUCAUUCUUAGUAACCUUGAAGACAGGGUGAUCCUCCCCAGCUUUCCGUUUUAGCAGAUAUCGGCAAGAACCAAACGUGGUAAGAUCAUAAAGUGCAGCCAACUCUGCCAUCCCCAAAUCAAUUCCUUUCUGCUCGAUGAUCCUCUCGAAGGUAUACAGGACCCUCCAGAUCAUCGGCAUGGCUUGGAUAUAGGAGAUGC